AGUAAAAGUCGUAACAAGGUUUCCGUAGGUGCGUGUGAUUUGAGUUCGCCUACCAGCGCUUGUCGACUGAAGAACCCGGUCAGGUGCACGAUGCGCCUGGCAACGCAGUCAUUGAGCUGGAAGUCGCCGGGCAUAAAACCGUCCCGGGAGGCAACCAGCAGCCCCAAGAGUUCCUUGAGGAAUCCAGGGCCCACAGAUCAAAUGCCUGCGGCCGCAAGAUGCGGCUCUGAUAUGACCGACCGCCGCCAGCAAUGGUUCGGCGAAUCCGUGGAACCUGCGGAAGGAUCAUUACCGAGAGUGCUCCUUCGGGGGUGACCUCCCACCCGUGUUUACUUUCCCCCGGUUGCUUUGGCGGGUGGCUCGCUCCCGGCGUGCUGAACGCCCGUCAGAGGCUUUUAAAACUCUACGUUGUCCUGGGGCAGUCUGAGUGAAAACCAAAUCUCGAAAAACUUUCAACAACGGAUCUCUUGGUUCCGGCAUCGAUGAAGAACGCAGCGAAAUGCGAUAAGUAAUGUGAAUUGCAGAAUUCAGUGAAUCAUCGAAUCUUUGAACGCACAUUGCGCCCUUUGGCAUUCCAAGGGGCAUGCCUGUCCGAGCGUCAUUGCACCACUCAAGCCCCCGCUUGGUGUUGGGAUUCACCGUCCGCGGUGGCCUUGAAACGCAGUGGCGGUCCGGUGAGACUUCAAGCGUAGUAGAUCGUUUUCCCGCUGUGGAAGCUCAAGCUGUGACCUGUCAACACAUCGUGUUCGCACAUUUACUACCGGUUGACCUCGGAUCAGGUAGGGAGACCCGCUGAACUUAAGCAUAUCAAUAAGCGGAGGAAAAGAAACCAACC
This 835-nucleotide small RNA is filed under the name Lepraria sp. KWS 5. Its description in RNAcentral is "eukaryotic LSU rRNA". The stretch from base 448 to 601 matches the Rfam family "5.8S ribosomal RNA". The record is from RNAcentral. Lineage: Eukaryota; Fungi; Ascomycota; Lecanoromycetes; Lecanorales; Stereocaulaceae.